GACGAACGCUGGCGGCGUGCUUAACACAUGCAAUUCGAACGGAAAGGCCCUGCUUUUGUGGGGUGCUCGAGUGGCGAACGGGUGAGUAACACGUGAGUAACCUGCCCUUGAGUUUGGGAUAACUUCAGGAAACUGGGGCUAAUACCGGAUAGGAGCUCCUGCUGCAUGGUGGGGGUUGGAAAGUUUCGGCGGUUGGGGAUGGACUCGCGGCUUAUCAGCUUGUUGGUGGGGUAGUGGCUUACCAAGGCUUUGACGGGUAGCCGGACUGAGAGGGUGACCGGCCACAUUGGGAAUGAGAAACGGCACAGACUCCUACGGGAAGCAGCAGUGGGGAAGAUUGAACAAUGGGCGGAAGCCUGAUGCAGCAACGACGCGUGAGGGAUGAAGGCCUUCGGGUUGUAAACCGCUUUCGCCUGUGACGAAGCGUGAGUGAAGGUAAUGGGUAAAGAAGCACCGGCUAACUACGUG
Molecule: ribosomal RNA, 468 nt
Filed under: uncultured bacterium
Lineage: Bacteria
Description: partial 16S ribosomal RNA
Rfam family: Bacterial small subunit ribosomal RNA
Source: RNAcentral